CGCACCUUGCACUCUUUGGUAUUCCGAAGAGUAUGUCUGUUUGAGUGUCGUGAAAUUCUCAACCCCCCCAUUUUGUAAUGAGAUGGGCUAAGGGGUUUGGUUUAUGGCUGUCUUGCAGGAUUUUUAACUAAGUCCGGCUCAGCUGAAAUAUACGAGUUGCCCUUAUUACAAUUAUAUCUUUGACGGCUUGACUCGGCGUAAUAAUUAUUAUCGCUGGGAACGUUUAUAGAUUUUGUUAAUAAGUGGUGCUUCUAAUCCUUAUUCACUUUAAGCUUUAGACCUCAAAUCAGAUAGGACUACCCGCUGAACUUAA
Molecule: unclassified non-coding RNA, 313 nt
Filed under: Sporidiobolales sp.
Lineage: Eukaryota; Fungi; Basidiomycota; Microbotryomycetes; Sporidiobolales
Description: partial contains 5.8S ribosomal RNA, internal transcribed spacer 2, and large subunit ribosomal RNA
Source: RNAcentral